RNAcentral lists this unclassified non-coding RNA (443 nucleotides) under Hevea brasiliensis (rubber tree). Lineage: Eukaryota; Viridiplantae; Streptophyta; Magnoliopsida; Malpighiales; Euphorbiaceae. The record is from RNAcentral.
AAAGAACAGAAGUAUUCUUGAAGUUAUUCCAGGUUUUGAGCAAGCAAUCCAAGCCUAUGCAGUUCAUGUGCUUUCGAUCACAUACCAGAAGGUGCCUAGGUCUGUACUAGCUGAGACAAUCAAUGUUGAAGGUCCUUCCCUGGACAAGUUUGUUGAGUACCAAGUAGCCAACCAUGGCUGGGUCCUUGAGAAGGGUAGCGGGCGGUCACAGCUGAUUGUGAUGCCCCGCAACGAAUUCAAUCAUCCUGAGCUGAAGAAGAACACGGCAGACAGCGUCCCUUUUGAGCGUGUCACUCGGAUCUUUCCUGUCCUCACUUAAAUGGAGUGCGGCUAUCCAAUCGCCUUGGCUCGCUAAUGUGUUUGUAUCCUGACUCUAGUCGCUUUGUUAGUUGCAAACUAAAGUAUUAUAUGCAAACCAGAAUAUUAUAUGCGUUUGUGUUGAG